UGAGGCUCUCGCGCUCACCGAAUUGGAGUUUUGGCGCGUCCCUGGCCUGUUUGAUGGUGGGUGAUAAAUAAGUCGGGCGGUAGGAUGGCCAGGAACAACGAACAAAGCAUACAUGUAAUAUUUUUGCAGUCUAUUUUGAGAAGACAAGGAGAUUGGUUUGGGCUUUCUUUUCUUAGUUUUGGUUUUCUUGUAUUCCGUUAUCAAUUAAGUAAAGAAUCAAUACUGUAUGUUGGCGGGUUAUAAGACUUUAAGUAAUAUUUUUUUCUGAGUUAAAUGAGAGAGAAGAGGCUACAAACUUACAGUCAGCUGUACUGCUGUAGCAUGAGCUCCAACAUCCUUUGUGAGAGAAACAUGUGGAUUAUAUAUUAAUGAUUGUGAGAGAAACAUGUGGAUUACUCCCUCCGUCUUUUAAAAAAUAUACUUCUAACUUUGUUGAAAAGUCCAAAAAAAUUAUGUUUGAUUGUAUUUAUACAGUAAUCUUAAAAUAUAUUUUUAUCAUAUACCUAUUUGUUUCGCAAACAUUGAUAUAUGUUUGCAGAAACUCGUCAAACUUUCAGAUAGUACACUUUUUUAAGGACGGAGAAAAUAUAUAUUAAUGAUGUAGUAUAUUAAUAUGAUUAACUAUUAUAUGAGUGGGCUAUAAGAGACAUGGUAAAUCCAUAUAGUGCGUUGUUAUAUUAACCAUGCUCUUAUUGUACUUGUUCUAACUGCUUUUUUUCUUUCUCUUGGCUUCGUGACAAUGCACGGGAAUUGUGCCAGUGACCCUAACGUCCAGUUUACAGAGAUCUUAAAACACUUAAAAAAACGUGAGUAUCAUAUUCGAAACUGCCAAACUGCUAACUAUUUAAAACUAAAACGUUAUUACAUCCAAUAUGUGAGUAUAUGGGAUGCGCUAACUUUUAUGAGACGGAGGGAGUAUAUCACAUCAGAUACACUUUGAAACAAAGAAUAUGUCACACACAUACACACACAUCUCCCUACUUGGAAUCAAAAUCAUGGAUACAGUAAACGCACAACUUCGUAACUGCGUCACAACCCUGGGGUAAAAGAUUAGAUCUCCUCUCAGUGGUAUUACAUAACUUCAAUAAUUUCCUGUACAAAAUGUCAUGGAAUAUCGAGAGUACAAAAGCCACGGUUUUGUACUUCGGUAGAAGAAAUAAGAACAUUUGCCACAACAACAUUUUCUAUGCACACUUUAAUCAAACUAAAAGCUAACCUCAUAUGUCACGACCACACAAUAAAAGAAACGAUCAACAAAGUUAGAACCUCUUGAAAGGAAAUGCGCUCCGGCCCUUCUGGCAUUGCACGCGUACUCCGUAACAUUUGGCAACGGUAGAACACACUCCAGUUAUUUUCACCGAUAAUUGUGCUGCCUUUUCUUGGUUAGCCCCAGACAAAUUAUUCCACGAUGUUCCACGCAGGUCUCCAUGCUGCAAAGUGACCUCUACCGUCUGUCCAGGGCAGAUUAUACCAGUUGCUGGAGAAACCUGUGUUGAAGACAUGUUUCACCCUCAGUGCUCAAGCAUUAAAAGCUCACAGUGUUGGACAAGCAUCAACAAGCAGAACCAUCUUACAGUAAUUAGAUUGUUCUAAAAUGAAGUGAGCCAAUAUAAGGAGAGUCAGGACAAGGCAUUAACCCACCUUAAGCCAAGUAGGGAAACCAGCAGAAUCUGUGCCAGAGGAACUUGGUGCUUGGCCAGUUAUCUCAAAACAAGCUCUGUCUUCUGUACUUCUGUUUUGUAGUUUAAAAAUAUAGGGAGUUUGGUCUUGCAGAAUGAUGUCAUUGGUGCUCACAUUUGCUUCAGGGAAUGCUUUUAGCCCCUGGAGCAAGUGCAACACUUUCUUAUUUGAACUCAUUAUCUCCCCAUAUUUCUGCCUCAUCGUCUGUUUCUCAACACGUGCAACAUCCAAAUUGAACAAGCAUUUUACAGGUUUGUGAUCACUGUCUGUUGCUUCCAUGCAAGAGUCGUACCUUGAAAUAUAGAAUAAUACAGUUCCAUAAGGUUUCUAUGUACUAACUGAAAAAUGGAUGUUAGGUACACAGGACAAAAAGACUAACUACAAAUAAGACCUGAUUUCGGAAAUAAAAAACUUUGUACAGCUCAAACCAUCUGUCUGAUUGGACAUCUGUUUUCACCACAGAUUUCGUAACGACAAGUGCUUUAAAGUAAGAUCUCAGUUGACUAUGUUUCGAGAAACCUAUUUGAACUCUUUUGUUGCCAGGCAGUAACGCAUUAGUUGCCACCCUAUUUUGUAACAUGUCACCACAUGGCAACUUUAUAAAUUGUCAGGUGGUAACAUUGAAGGCAAAAAAGAAAAGUCAUCGAAACAUACCAACAUGGGGUCUGGUUUUUGAGCUCUCGUCAAAACAAAGCCAACAGUGAAAACAGAUCAUAAAUUGGCUCUAUAUUUAAAAGAUAAAAUGUUUUAACUUCCGAGUACAUGCAUGCAAAUAGCAAAUGAGAGAUGGACUGGUGGAGGAAACGUCGUGCUCUAGGACAAUCGAGCACAUGUUCUUGCGUUAUUUGUGCCCUACUAAUAUUCUUUAUCCAGUGAGAUAAUCAAACAACAAAUGACUUACAGUGAUACUGAACAAACCACAGGACAAUCCAAAGAACACUCAGUUCCUGAACUAGCUCGGCUGUCACGGUAUAGAACUCGGUCACACCAGGCAGGAAUGCGUUUCUUCUCACUACAAUCAUACCCUACAAUAAGAGAGAAGUUUCUUCAAACGAAGUGUUCAGGAAUCAGGAGUUCAGAAGUAUUAUCAACUCAUAAGGAUCAAAUUGGUACCGUAUGAAACAUUAUUGCUGUGAUAAGCACACACUAAUAUAACUAGCGGUUUGCCAUGGAACACCCCCCAAAGAGUGUACUACUUUUGAUGCAGAUCGAUGAUACACCAGUGGCUGGGUUAUACACCCACUCCCUAACCAAGUGAGCUAGCCUCACUUCUUAUCUUUACAUCAACUUCCUCCGGUUGUUACCAGAUUACAGUCUCAUACCCUUCUAGAAAUUUUACUUUAGCAUUCUCAUUCAUCUACAUACAUGUUAUAUAACGUUAGUACAUAAAGUCGUCUCCAACCUCGCAAAAGGAAAUCCUCUCCAUGCAAAUCAGCACCUCUAACAGUGAAGACCGGAUGCACAAAAAAUAAGGAUACCAUUUAAUCUUCUAUUGAACGAAAAUGGCAUUUUCAAAGUUUUUUAGAAAAGGGCAGGGUGGGGGUUACUGAAGCAGGCCUCAAACAACUAUCAUCAGAAUAACUAUACCUGAUAAGCCAGCUUUGUGUUUCUCAAAUUUGUAAGUAGGUGGGAACUGGAAAUCUCCUUCACGUAAUCCCUGGAAGACUCUCCCGGAUCUCAUUUCUGCUCGCAGCUGGUCAUUCUUCCUCAGCCAGUCAAAGCGUCUCCGGGAAACCAACCCCAUCGCCUCUUCAUACGAAAUGUCGUAAAGCCGGUAAUUGAAGUCACCAAGAAAGACAAUCAUGUCCGUAUCUGACAACUCAGGCAUUCUUGAUCCCUAUCAUAGCAACAUUUUGGUAAUGUUUACAAUCUCAGAUAAUGGAUCUAGAAACAACUCUAUCCACUGCAAAAAUAAAAUGAAGGGGAAGCAACAACAUACAUUUGCUUGAAGAAGCUGACCGGCAGAACCAGAAACUGCAACAUGAAAAGAAGUUGAGUAACAGUGUGUAAGAUUAAGAAGUUCUGAAUUCUUGGCACGAUUCUUCAUUGUGAUUAGGAUGGUUGGCCAGACAUUUACAAAUUUGAACAUCAUCAUGCAGAAAAGUUAACAAGAAGAUUGAACAAUUACUUGAUGCUGUCAAUAAUCCACUUGAAGGGGUGGCAAAGGUCAUUGUUCUAAAGACAUGGUCAAAGUCUUCAUUUCGCCGGCUCACAGCUUCCAUAUGUGCAGCGAAAUGACAAUUUACAAAGCAAAUGCUUCUAUCAUGUAUUCUCAUCCUCAAUCCGACUGCUCCCUGAGACAGUGAAGUACAUUACAAAAUGUAGUAAACUAAGCUGAACUAAAAUGAAACCAUAAUGCUGCUUCUAUACUCCCCCAAAACUAAAUUACGCGAAUAUUUAAGCAGAAUUGCGCCAUGCCUACUCAGCAUCCCGUAAUAACUGCCCAAAGGCAGCAUGCCCAACCAGGAAGCAUGAGCAAUGUGCACAGUCCUGUCCAGGAGGGAUACAUCGGCAAUGCAGAAUACAUCACAGUAGGAGGAUAUAUUACUCGAUUUGGUUCCAGUUAAGUUUAGAUCAGGUAUCGCAAGAUUAUAUCCCUAGUUUUAGUUAAUUGCGUCUGUUAGAAGUAGAAAUGGAAUCAGUGUGCUAAUAGGGCUGCCUCAUCUAUAUAUGAGGUGCCUAUAAGUACUCUCCAUACCCCUAUCAUCUCUUCUACACAGAUCUUGUUACACCUGCAAGUAGAGGACCUCAGCCUCGACCUUCUUCCGUCACUGAAAAGCUAUGCUCAUGACAAUUUGGUAACAGGCGCAGCCCUUGAUACGGCUGUGGCGGCUCCUGGUCAGAUCAAGGUAUGGAUGGCAGCGACAAUCUCGCUAGCCAGAUGGCUGCUACCCGAGAGGCUGAACCAGACUAACGAGAUCAAUACCAAGAUCAGCGGGGUGGAUCAGCAGCAGUCCGCACGGCUGCUAUUAACUGAAUAGAAGGCACAUGCCGAGAUCACCAUAGUGGUGUCCUCUCACUCAAGACUUGUUCCCCUGGGGGCAUCCUGGCAGGUCCAAAAGCUGUGCAUGGCUUCUCUCUGCUAACAGCCACUGCUGCCACCUCCAUAGAACACACUGCAGACUGGACUGCACCACAUCUACAAGUACUUCUCAACGUUUGAUGGCAAGGAAGAUUGUUACCCUAGCUGAACUGCUACAAACAACCUUUAGGAGAUGAUGGACAGGAAGGUAUGGCUAGUGUCCUAUCACGUGACGGGGCUGCAUAAACAUGGUAGCACCACAUGGAUUGACAUGACAGUGUCCAAACUGGAAGCACUUCACCUACCUUUUCAACACCAGUUUCAGGCAUCCCUACUAGCAAUUCCCUCAUGGAAUUGGUUUCUCUAUGACAAAGUGGCUCGCUGUGUCAGUUCCAGGAGCAAUUUCUGACACUGCCUACAUGGCAGAUCCUCUGACAGAAAACAAGCAGAUCCAACUCUUCACCAUCAGAUCACAGGAGCCGCUGUGAACAGAUAUCAAGGUACAAGCACCAGAACUUUAGAAAUGGUCAUAAGGCUGCUGUACAUGUCAACCUGAUUGCCAAGCCUGCCGCAGUGGGCUCCCGUCUGGUAAGCAAUAGUCAUCGAAAAACAACCCGCUGCCAAGCUGGGCAAUUCGCGCCUAAUAUCUAGAUCAAGUUGUAUUUACACAAGAAAGGAGUUGGGCAUAUAUAACAACCAGCAGAGAACGUUCACUUAAAUCAAACACUACUUAAAAAUAAAUGGCUGAUGAGUAUGAUGGCAAAAUGGUGAGCUGAAAUAAAAACUAUAUUGACAUUUGACAUUAAGUCACAAACAACAUGUCUAAGUUACCUGCUACGAAUAAGAAAUAAUAUAUUAAUAGGACAACAAAAGUACCUUGUUGCCAGAAAGAAUACAUUAACAAGACAACAAAAGUACCUUGUUGCCAAUAGCGCGCCCUAAUCCACAUGCUACUGCAGCAUUGUCGAUAUCACUGACAAAAUGCUUAAGAUUUGUUCUUACCCUGAAGAAAGAAAAAACUCAAUAACUUCCACAAUUACGAAGAAAAAAACAGAAGGAUAAACACCAAAAAUAGUCCUAAACAGAUUACCAUACAGCGGUAAGUAACCCAGCCAUCUGCCUUGAACCAACACGCUCAAAAGAGUGGCCUUUCAAGAUUUGCCCAAUUGCAUCCAACCACCACUCCCCGUUUGGGCUUCCCUCUAGCCCUACCUAAAGCCAGUGGAAAUUAUAUCAGGAUUACAGCUAGCAAAAAAUAGCAUAUAUUUUUUCUAUAUUUAUGCUUAUUAAUAUUCUAAAAAAUUAACAUGAGAAUUAACUCUUAACAGGUACUCCCUCCGUUCCAAAAUAUACGGCAUAUAGAUUUUCAGAAGUCAAGCUUUGUAAAGUUUAUAGAGAAAAAUAUCUACAUCUACAAUACCAAACAAAUAUUAUCAGAUACAUUGUGAAAUAUAUUUGUAUACUGUGUUUAUUUGGUAUUAUUGACGUUGAUAUUUUUCUCUAUAAACUUGGUAAAACUUGAUGGAAGUUAAUUUUUGGCACACAAAAAACGCGCUAUAUUUUGGAACAGAUGGAGUAGUAAACAAGCCACCUUUUGGGUAUGAAACCCAUUUGGGCGAGAGUAGUACUAGGAUGGGUGACCUCCUCGGAAGUCCUCGUGAAAGGGUUUCAUAUCUAGCCUACCCCAACUUGUUUGGGAUAAAAGGCUUCGUAAGUAAGUAAGUUUUUACCGUUUCUUUAGCUGCCGACAUUGCAAGAAAACCAGCGCCCAUCUCCACCUCUUGCAAUCCAACUACUACUACCCCAACCUCUUGUGUUGGGAAUUUCAGCCAAGCUCUUAGUGACUCAUAAGAUGCUUUUUCUUGCCCAACAUUCCAAGAACAUACUAACACCUUCAUGUAUUCAAUGUUUUUGUAUGAUAUCUCUUUCUCCGUCAAUUCAGAACGCAAAAUGCUGUCAGCAGGCCCUGGAGAUGAUAAAUUCCAUCCACGGACUCCCCCAUGACCAGCUAAUGUAAAUAUAUAUGAACUUCCGACAGCCAUACUCAGAAUUGGACUACUAUGUGCAAUCCAUCCUCCCAGCAAGUUGCCAUCCAGGUCCAAGAGCUGGAUGUUACCAUCCAUGUACCCCACCCACAAUCUUGUGCCAAAGUUGAGAAUACUUUGAACAGAAGAUGAAUGAUGCUGAAACUCUUGCAAACGAUUACCACUACCAUCCCAUUGAGCAACUGAGCCAUUUACAGAUCCUGUCCAGAUCAUCCCAUCCAUUGACAUUACUAAUGCUUCUAUUCUUCGAGUAUCAUCUCCAAAUCCUGCUUUAGCAGCAACUCGCCGAACUGCAUCAGCUGCUCCCAUCAAAGCAUUCCGUGAUCUCUGGAAAAAAUUAACAGGACUGCGAGCUUUCUCUUUCUUCGGAGAGGAGAAAAGGUUUUGUUUUGUUUCAUAGCCAUAUGGAUCCUGAGCAGAUAAGACGUCAAAACGGGUAUCAACUUGGCCAUCCACAUUUACCACUUUCAGGAGCUCCUUAGUGCGAGAAUCCCUAUACGGCAAAAUAGAGAACAAGAAUAAACACAAAUAUACGAACAGCUGGACUAAUGUAAGCAAAAUGCAACAGCAACAGGUGAAUGGACACAUGAAGUGUACCAGAGUGCAAAUGAGAGGUAACCAGCACUCCAUACUUUCGAUCUGGAAUUGUCAGAUAAUAGAAGUUUUACAUCUACGGAAGGCAAGGGGCAGGCCCCUCCGUCACUGACCAUGGUCCAAAGGUCAAUGAAUGAUCUUUCAACUAAAAGGGAGACCUUACACUUUUCUUCUCUUUCUAAAGCAAGAGAUUUCUCAAUUGCUUCUCCAUUCCAUACUUUAAUUAUUCCACCUUCAGAUCCAGACCAUAAAUCACCUAUGAUUGAUGCAAACAAGAUCAGAAUUGAACUAGUCCAAGUGCAAUUAGCUUGUUCAACAAUAUGAAUUCUAACUGCUGAAAAUAGUAUAACUAUGAAGAAGAAUCAUAAAGUUGCAAGCAGCAAGCCACCAUCUUAAACAUAUAGGCUACCUGAACAACAAAUUUCAGCAGCUCAUGCUGCGGAUCUAAUAGUUGAAUGCCUUAUCUGCCUUGUAGAUUUCACUAUUAAUAUUUGGUUGUGUUAAGAUGGAUGGCAUAGUUUUAUUAGCAUAGCACAAUAAUCUUCUAGCAAUUCGGAAAAAGAAGAAUGGAAGCAUGUCAGGACAAGUACUGGUACUUCGUCGACCAAAAUUAAAAUCUCUCUACAAGAUUGUCCUGGGGAUGCUGAUACUAGAGUUGGUUUGCAUAAGUAGUUGCAUGCCCACUGCUGCCAAUAUACUGCCAGGUCCCUUUUAACAAAAAAAAAAA
RNAcentral lists this long non-coding RNA (8068 nucleotides) under Triticum aestivum (bread wheat). Lineage: Eukaryota; Viridiplantae; Streptophyta; Magnoliopsida; Poales; Poaceae. The record is from RNAcentral.